GAUGCACUGCUGCGUUCAGGGCUGACGGCGUUCGGGCAGUCGCACGGCAGCAGCCAGCAUUGAGCAGCGUUAAAAAGCGUGGUUUCUGCUUCUACCAGAGGAAAUAAAAUGGACCAUUAUGAAGUAAUAAAACCCUGCCACUGGGCCAGCCCUAGUCCCUUCUGGCUGACAUCUGCAGCGUCAUUCAAAUAGAAGCAAUGCCUGUGGUGGAUGCAUCUCCAGGCUGAAGCUAGCAGAGCUAUGAAGAUAUGUUAUAGGACUUCACACAGCAUAACAACAUGCUUCAAGUCUCGGAUAGAAAUUCAGUUGUAUUGCUGUAAUAUUCUUUCUAACUGGCAUUCAAAAGUAAUUGAUUUCCUGCUAGAAAUAAAUGCAAUAACAAAU
Molecule: long non-coding RNA, 384 nt
Organism: Numida meleagris (helmeted guineafowl)
Lineage: Eukaryota; Metazoa; Chordata; Aves; Galliformes; Numididae
Exons: 2
Source: RefSeq, a predicted model, not a curated record